This 195-nucleotide non-coding RNA is filed under the name Thalassiosira rotula. The record is from RNAcentral. Lineage: Eukaryota; Bacillariophyta; Thalassiosirophyceae; Thalassiosirales; Thalassiosiraceae.
UGGAAAUGGACAUAAGCGAGCAUGACAAUAAUAAUACAGAACAGCAGCAGCAGCAGCAACAGCGAUCACCAUCGUCAGCAUCGGAUAUGCCUCAAGAUUACAGACCAAGAGGCAGUGACCAUUCAUUAGCACGAAUGCAUCACAGCUAUCACAGCAGACAACACCACGCGUCUUGGUCUGGAAAAUCCAAGCUCA